Long non-coding RNA from Drosophila willistoni, 353 nucleotides. RefSeq lists it as uncharacterized. The record is from RefSeq and is a predicted model, not a curated record. The transcript is spliced from 3 exons. Lineage: Eukaryota; Metazoa; Arthropoda; Insecta; Diptera; Drosophilidae.
AACGAAUCCCAGAUCUAACUUCUGGCAACGCUGCAUACAACAGACGACGGAUUUUGCAGAAAUAAAACGCGUUCUUGGUUGCUCAUUCAUUGACCACCAACAGCAGCAGCACCAGACCAGGAGGCGGCGGCAGUAGGUCGGGCAGGCAACGUCAAGAAGAGAGCUGGGCCAGCCAGCGAGCGAGCGAACGAGUGAGUGAGUGCGAGUCAACGGCAACGACAAUAACAAGAAAGGCCCAAGCAAAGACAAAAACCAAAGUCAAAUAACAACGAGAAAGCAAAUCACGAAGGCGGCCCCCAUCAGCAGUAGCAGCAGUCAGCAGCAGCAGCAAAAGAAGAAGCGGAACCCAAAAA